RNAcentral lists this ribosomal RNA (429 nucleotides) under Verrucomicrobiota bacterium. RNAcentral describes it as "Verrucomicrobia bacterium partial 16S ribosomal RNA". It matches the Rfam family "Bacterial small subunit ribosomal RNA", at positions 355 to 776 of the family's 1533-position model. Lineage: Bacteria; Pseudomonadati; Verrucomicrobiota. The record is from RNAcentral.
UAGGGAAUCUUCCGCAAUGGACGAAAGUCUGACGGAGCAACGCCGCGUGAGUGAAGAAGGAUUUCGGUUCGUAAAACUCUGUUGUUAGGGAAGAAAAAAUGUAUAGUAACUAUAUACAAAAGAGACGGUACCUAACCAGAAAGCCACGGCUAACUACGUGCCAGCAGCCGCGGUAAUACGUAGGUGGCAAGCGUUGUCCGGAAUUAUUGGGCGUAAAGCGCGCGCAGGUGGUUUAGAAAGUCUGAUGUGAAAGCCCACGGCUCAACCGUGGAGGGUCAUUGGAAACUAAUAAACUUGAGUGCAGGAGAGAAAAGUGGGAUUCCUAGUGUAGCGGUGAAAUGCGUAGAGAUUAGGAGGAACACCGGUGGCGAAAGCGGCUUUUUGGCCUGCAACUGACACUGAGGCGCGAAAGCGUGGGGAGCAAACAGG